GGUUAUAUAGCUUAAAGAGAGUAAAGGUUUUGUAAUCCUUUGGUGUGAAAUUAUAUUACUAUAACCU
RNAcentral lists this transfer RNA (67 nucleotides) under Semelidae sp. STW-2017. RNAcentral describes it as "tRNA-Thr". It matches the Rfam family "tRNA". From Rfam's summary of the family: Transfer RNA (tRNA) molecules are approximately 80 nucleotides in length. Their secondary structure includes four short double-helical elements and three loops (D, anti-codon, and T loops). Further hydrogen bonds mediate the characteristic L-shaped molecular structure. tRNAs have two regions of fundamental functional importance: the anti-codon, which is responsible for specific mRNA codon recognition, and the 3' end, to which the tRNAs corresponding amino acid is attached (by aminoacyl-tRNA synthetases). tRNAs cope with the degeneracy of the genetic code in two manners: having more than one tRNA (with a specific anti-codon) for a particular amino acid; and 'wobble' base-pairing, i.e. permitting non-standard base-pairing at the 3rd anti-codon position. Lineage: Eukaryota; Metazoa; Mollusca; Bivalvia; Cardiida; Semelidae. The record is from RNAcentral.